Molecule: ribosomal RNA, 548 nt
Filed under: Anaplasma marginale
Lineage: Bacteria; Pseudomonadati; Pseudomonadota; Alphaproteobacteria; Rickettsiales; Anaplasmataceae
Description: bacterial SSU rRNA
Rfam family: Bacterial small subunit ribosomal RNA
Source: RNAcentral
GGAAUCUACCUAGUAGUAUGGGAUAGCCACUAGAAAUGGUGGGUAAUACUGUAUAAUCCCUGCGGGGGAAAGAUUUAUCGCUAUUAGAUGAGCCUAUGUCAGAUUAGCUAGUUGGUGGGGUAAUGGCCUACCAAGGCGGUGAUCUGUAGCUGGUCUGAGAGGAUGAUCAGCCACACUGGAACUGAGACACGGUCCAGACUCCUACGGGAGGCAGCAGUGGGGAAUAUUGGACAAUGGGCGCAAGCCUGAUCCAGCUAUGCCGCGUGAGUGAGGAAGGCCUUAGGGUUGUAAAACUCUUUCAGUAGGGAAGAUAAUGACGGUACCUACAGAAGAAGUCCCGGCAAACUCCGUGCCAGCAGCCGCGGUAAUACGGAGGGGGCAAGCGUUGUUCGGAAUUAUUGGGCGUAAAGGGCAUGUAGGCGGUUUGGUAAGUUAAAGGUGAAAUACCAGGGCUUAACCCUGGGGCUGCUUUUAAUACUGCCGGACUAGAGUCCGGAAGAGGAUAGCGGAAUUCCUAGUGUAGAGGUGAAAUUCGUAGAUAUUAGGAG